CCUACGGGUGGCAGCAGUGAGGAAUAUUGGUCAAUGGCCGAGAGUCUGAACCAGCCAAGUAGCGUGAAGGAUGACUGCCCUAUGGGUUGUAACCCUCUUUUAUAAAGGAAUAAAACGAGCCACGUGUGCCUUUUUGCAUGUACUUUAUGAAUAAGGCUCGGCUAACUCCGUGCCAGCAGCCGCGGUAAUACGGAGGAUUCGAGCGUUAUCCGGAUUUUUUGGGUUUAAAGGGAGCGUAGAUGGGUUGUUAAGUCAGUUGGGAAAGUUUGCGGCUCAACCGUAAGAUUGCAAUUGAUACUGGCGGUCUUGAGUACAGUUGAGGUAUGCGGAAUUCGUGGUGUAGCGGUGAAAUGCAUAGAUAUCACGAAGAACCCCGAUUGCGAAGGCAGCUUACUAAACUGGGACUGACAUUGAUGCUCGAAAGUGUGGGUAUCAAACAGGAUUAGAUACCCCUGUAGUC
RNAcentral lists this ribosomal RNA (460 nucleotides) under uncultured bacterium. RNAcentral describes it as "partial 16S ribosomal RNA". It matches the Rfam family "Bacterial small subunit ribosomal RNA", at positions 338 to 795 of the family's 1533-position model. The record is from RNAcentral.